AUGUGCGGCCGUAUCCACUGGAAAGCACGAUUUUUCACGUCCGAUCAAUCAUAGUUAGGCCAGUAAGAGCCUUCAUAAGUACUACGGUGGGAGACCACGUGGGAACACAAGGUGCUGCAGUCU
RNAcentral lists this ribosomal RNA (123 nucleotides) under Nadsonia fulvescens var. elongata DSM 6958. The record is from RNAcentral. Lineage: Eukaryota; Fungi; Ascomycota; Dipodascomycetes; Dipodascales.